AGUGAACGCUGGCGGUAGGCCUAACACAUGCAAGUCGAACGGCAGCACAGUAAGAGCUUGCUCUUACGGGUGGCGAGUGGCGGACGGGUGAGGAAUACAUCGGAAUCUACUUUUUCGUGGGGGAUAACGUAGGGAAACUUACGCUAAUACCGCAUACGACCUACGGGUGAAAGCAGGGGAUCUUCGGACCUUGCGCGAUUGAAUGAGCCGAUGUCGGAUUAGCUAGUUGGCGGGGUAAAGGCCCACCAAGGCGACGAUCCGUAGCUGGUCUGAGAGGAUGAUCAGCAAGAUCGGAAGAGCGAGACGGUCCGGACUCCUACGUUACGCACCAGUAGUGAAUAUUGGACAAUGGGCGCAAGCCUGAUCCAGCCAGACCGCGUGGGUGAAGAAGGCCUUCGGGUUGUAAAGCCCUUUUGUUGGGAAAGAAAAGCAGCAUGUUAAUACCCCGCUGUUCUGACGGUACCCAAAGAAUAAGCACCGGCUAACUUCGUG
This 492-nucleotide ribosomal RNA is filed under the name uncultured bacterium. RNAcentral describes it as "partial 16S ribosomal RNA". It matches the Rfam family "Bacterial small subunit ribosomal RNA", at positions 29 to 507 of the family's 1533-position model. The record is from RNAcentral.